UGCGUAGGCGGACUAAUAAGUCAGUGGUGAAAUCUUUCGGCUCAACCGAGAGACUGCCAUUGAUACUGUUAGUCUUGAGUUCGGUUGAGGUAGGCGGAAUGUGUAAUGUAGCGGUGAAAUGCUUAGAUAUUACACAGAACACCAAUUGAGUAGGCAGCUUACUAGACCGACACUGACGCUGAGGCACGAAAGCGUGGGGAGCGAACAGGAUUAGAUACCCUGGUAGUCC
Molecule: ribosomal RNA, 229 nt
Filed under: uncultured bacterium
Lineage: Bacteria
Description: partial 16S ribosomal RNA
Rfam family: Bacterial small subunit ribosomal RNA
Source: RNAcentral